CCUACGGGUGGCAGCAGUGAGGAAUAUUGGUCAAUGGGCGCGAGCCUGAACCAGCCAAGUAGCGUGAAGGAUGACUGCCCUACGGGUUGUAAACUUCUUUUAUAAAGGAAUAAAGUGAGGCACGUGUGCCUCUUUGUAUGUACUUUAUGAAUAAGGAUCGGCUAACUCCGGUCCAGCAGCCGCGGUAAUACGGAGGAUCCGAGCGUUAUCCGGAUUUAUUGGGUGUAAAGGGAGCGUAGAGGGGUUGGUAAGUCGGUUGUGAAAGGUUGGGGCUCAACCGUAAGAUUGAAAUUGAUACUGGCAGCCUUGAGUACAGUUGAGGUAGGCGGAAUUCGUGGUGUAGCAGUGAAAUGCUUAGAUAUCACGAAGAACUCCGGUUGCGAAGGCAGCCUACUAAACUGCCACUGACAUUGAUGCUCGAAAGUGUGGGUAUCAAACGGGAUUAGAUACCCGGGUAGUC
Molecule: ribosomal RNA, 460 nt
Filed under: uncultured bacterium
Lineage: Bacteria
Description: partial 16S ribosomal RNA
Rfam family: Bacterial small subunit ribosomal RNA
Source: RNAcentral